GACGAACGCUGGCGGCGUGCUUAACUACAUGCAAGUCGAAACGGAAACGGACCCGUCGUCUUUUGGUUGGGGUGGCUCGAGUGGCGAACGGUGGAGUAACACGUGAGUAACGUCGUCCUCGUACGUUUGGGGGUAGUAACUUCAAGGAAACGUAGGGUACGUAACGUACCGGUAGUAGGAGCCUUCCUGCUGCAUGGGUGGGGUUGGAAAGUUUAGGCGGUUGGGGAUGGACUCGCGGCUUAUCAGCUUGUUGGUGGGGUAGUGGCUACCAAGGCUUUGACGGGUAGCCGGCCUGAGAGGGUGACCGGCCACAUUGGGACUGAGAUACGGCCCAGACUCCUACGGGAGGCAGCAGUGGGGAAUAUUGCACAAUGGGCGGAAGCCUGAUGCAGCAACGCCGCGUGCGGGAUGACGGCCUUCGGGUUGUAAACCGCUUUCGCCUGUGACGAAGCGUGAGUGACGGUAAUGGGUAAAGAAGCACCGGCUAACUACGUG
This 495-nucleotide ribosomal RNA is filed under the name uncultured bacterium. Its description in RNAcentral is "bacterial SSU rRNA". It matches the Rfam family "Bacterial small subunit ribosomal RNA", at positions 28 to 507 of the family's 1533-position model. The record is from RNAcentral.